Molecule: long non-coding RNA, 816 nt
Filed under: Parus major (Great Tit)
Lineage: Eukaryota; Metazoa; Chordata; Aves; Passeriformes; Paridae
Description: lncRNA (ENSPMJG00000002315.1)
Source: RNAcentral
CCAAACAAGCCCAAGGCUGAGCAGGAAAAAAUCACUGACACUAAGCCAGCAGGAAGAAACCCUAACCAUGAACCUCUUCUAUAACAGACUUUGAGUGUGACCUCCUCUGCUUCCCCUCAAGGGCUGUUGUUUGAGGAAGACUGAAGCUGCUCGCAGGAGAAUCCAGAAGGGCAUUGCAAAGGUGACCUUAGUACCAACAAAAAGAGACUUAAAGAUGGACAGUGAAUGUGGAAGAUAGAAAAAUCUGAACAAGAUGAAAGAAGACAGGAGCCUUGAAAAAAACCCAGUCUGUCACAUAUCAGGGGCACAACAUCUGGACAUCAGUAGCAGACAGACUGCCUGUUGUCCUGAUCCAGCUGCUUUCUUCUGGCUCAGCCUGAAAACUCAGGAGAGAGCACAAGUAGGGAUUAAUGAGCUGUUUUCAGGGAAAGCAAAUGCUCCAGGGAAGAUGGCACGGAGGUUUCAGAUAUUCAACAGACCAGCUCCUGCACACUCUCUGUUUAAACCUUCCCAAGUUUAACAACAACUGAGGAUCCAUUUUGCUUGAUCAGGCUCUCAAGAAGGUGCUGAAGUUACUUCCAGCAGCCUGAGAAGGUGCUGGUAUGUAAUGAUAAAAAUACUACACCUGAGCAGACAUUCUGUUUCCUUUUGGAAUAACAGACCAGAUGGCUUGGCUUACAAGACUGACUCAGGCAGCAGUAGCUGCAAUAGAUCUUCAGGUGUUAUAAAUUUUGACACUGUGAUAACCUGAUAUUUGAAAUCUUGCUAUGGUAUUCAGAAAUGUUUAAUAAAGUAAUUCAAGUGUAUUAUUGGACA